ACGAAAACUGACAAAACAACUUCAAGUACAUGUACUUUUAUAUUUUCAUUAAUUAUAAUAAUAAUAUAUAAUAAUAUAAAGAUAAUCUUGAAAAAUGUAAAAAUUAGUGGUGGGACUUUAACACGUCAAUCACGAUCAAUUAAUUACAAAAAAGAAUAGUGCAUGAAAAAUAUUCACGCUUUCCAAACAAACGCGGAUUUUCUGUCUGUCGUACAUGAUUUCGUGGUACCGAUUUUACUGACGCACGCGUCAGAGCUUGGAUAACCAUAUUUCUCACGGCUAACACAAUGGAGGAAUUGGAGGAAGCACUGUUGGGGGGGAAAAUUAAUAAAUAAAUAAAACUACCCAAUGGAAGUUGCACUAAAGCCUGGUUUUGUGCAGAUUAUGCAAAAAUGAGUUAGUUUACCAUUGAAGCACUUCAACCCUCCAGUACCAUCGAAAUGCAAAGCAUGUCGGAGCAAGCAUAGAAACAGCCGGAGCUAUUAGCGCUAGCAGUCACGCUCUGAGUUCUAAGAGUUGUCAGCAAAUCAAACGCCAGCAAAGUGACCAGAUUCAGGACCAAAACUAGUAAGUCAGCUUCAGAGAAAAUCACAAAUUCACUGGCAAAGUAGAUUGCUCUGGACUGCAGACCCCUAUUAGUAGUAAAAGACAAAGGAUUAGAAAAUGACCUACAGAUAGCAACAUGCGAUCCAAAUUUUCAACUACCAUGCAGAAAGACUAUUUCAGGCAAAAUUCAACUAAAAAUCAAGCAAAAUUGGAUGCAUUGCAGAAAGCUCAAUGUGUGGCUCUGACUGGGUACCAUUGGACCUCUGCUAGUUAUACAAAUUACAUCAGCGUCACUGCACACAUUGCUGAUGUCAUAGACAUGACGUGGGUUCUACAGUCUUUUGCUCUGGCUGUGCAGAAGACAGUCACCAAACCCAGUGCUGGAAACUGCGUGGAGGAUUUUCUCUCUGUGUCAAAGGAAUGGGGAAUUCUACAAAACGUAACAACAAUUAGCAGACAGUGCACGAACAAUGAUAGCUGCAGGAAGAGACCUCCCAUUUCAACACAUGCCUUGUAUUACGCACAUCUUCUCAAGAGCCAUCACUGUUAGCCUUGCUGAUAGAGGGUUUUGUGAUGCAUUAGUAAAAUGUCACAAGAUAGUGGGUCACUUUAAACACAGCCCUGCUAAUACAGAGGAACUACACCAGGAGCAAUCAAGACUGGGGCAAGAAAACGAGUCACUCAUGCAGGAUGUAGCCACAAGGUGGAAUUCAACGCUGGAAAUGAUUUCUUGUCUAGGGAAGAAUCUAGAGGCUGUUUUUGCCGCUUUAGACAGACAGAAUUACAAUCAAGUCAUAUUAACUCCAUCAGAGUUCCUAAAACUACAAAAGCUGGUGACUGUCCUUGACCCAUGCAGAUUUGUGACUGAACUCCUUGGAGGUUCUCAUGUUCAGUGGUUUUACCUUCUCUCCGCCACCUGUACCGCAACAUGGAGGUCUCUGAUGAUGACCCCACCCACACUGUGAAAUUCAAGACUGCCUUCACAAAGGACUUAUCACAACGUGUAGCUACACUCAAACUUGAAUGGCUCAAGAUGGGCACUGUGUUUGACCCUCCCUUUAAGGAUUUAAAAUGCCUUGCAAGGGGAGAGCGAGCAGAGAUGUGGACCAGCCUCGGGGCCCUACUGCAGGAACAUUGUUAAGGAUACCGCCACACAGGAGCCAGCAAAGAAAAAGAGAUUCUUUUUCUCUUCAGUUUCUUCAGACUCUGAUUCAGAUGUGGAAGCCCUGUGUAGCAGGGCCCUGAAUUUGUACAGAGCAGAAUCCAUUAUCAGCGAAACAGACUGUCCACUGCAGUGGUGGUCCAGUCGAGUAGGGACUCAUCCACAUCUACCUGUCCUGGCCCGGAAGUAUCUGAUUAGCCCUGCCACUUCUGUACCAUGAGAGAGGUUGUUCUCACUUGCAAGUCUCACAGGGUAAAUGUAAAUGUAAAUUCACUCCAAGCGCACUCUCUACACUCCGGAAAGUUUAGAAACUCGGAGCGCACUCCCGCCGCUCUGACUGAGGAGACAGAGCGGCCGGAGCGUCGGGCAGGAUGAGAUGUUUACAGGCAGAACUGACACAGUCAAUAUGAUGGAUGCACUGACGUAUCCCUGCCGAUGGCCAACAUACUCGCUCGUAAAUUCAUAAAACAGCUCUGGUAAUGUGAACAGGCCUAGUUUGUCUUCGCAACUAGUUGAAAGAAAGGAAGUAGUGCUGGAGGUAUUGAGAGGCCAAUGGCUUUGCUGUUUUUUUUUUGCACUACAAUGUUCAGAAUGUUAUGGCCUCAUGUACAAAAUGGUGUUUGCUAAGGGUGCUUGGAGUUUUAGGCCUUUCGAAUGACCAUUUACAUUUCUUGUUGUUUUAACAGAAAAAAUUGAGCACUUAUGUUGAAAUUGUUGUGGGUUUUUUAACCAUUUCGGCAAAAAUGUGCUCAAAAAUGGCACUUUAACUUGGAAAAAAAAAUAAAAAAUCCUGAAAUGGCCUAUUGAAUUUUGACAAGGAAAUAUAUAGUUUUAUUUUUAUUUUUUACUGUUUUUGUACGGUUUUGUAUUGAAAUAAAAUUAAAUGCAUUUUUCGAGCAUU
Long non-coding RNA from Phyllopteryx taeniolatus (common seadragon), 2609 nucleotides. RefSeq lists it as uncharacterized. NCBI's taxonomy places the organism in Eukaryota, Metazoa, Chordata, Actinopteri, Syngnathiformes, Syngnathidae. The record is from RefSeq and is a predicted model, not a curated record. The transcript is spliced from 2 exons.